AGGUAACGUUAUAGCAAGCAUCGAGGUCUCAUCAAUUCUCAUAAUCCAUACAGCCCAAUUGUUUUUAAGUAAAACUCGAAUUUAACAUCUCUACUAGUAGUUAAUUAAACCUAAUUACCUAUGCACUGCUCUACUUAGUGCAUUAUCCAUGGCUUAAUCAUGGUUCUCUGUGGAUCAUUCUUCUUCCACCACCAGACACACAUGAAGCCUUAUUUACAAAACUCAAGGCAUGUUGACUUAAAAGAUACCUCCCAUUAAAGAAGGAACAUCAUCAAAGGACCACAGGUCCAUAGCAUUUUCACCACCAUUUUGAGUUGCACUUGUGUUGAGGAAGUUACCACCUGAUGCAUCCCAAUUUCCCUCCAUAUAUGGGAGAUGAAAGAAAUUCAUCUGAGGUUCAAAAGCUGGAAGCUCUUCAGGUACCAUAGUAACGGUGUUUCCAUCAUCAGCUACGGGGUUGUUGGUGCAUGAUUUCAACUUUUUCUGAGAAUUGGCAUCUUCAACAAAUUGAGCUUCAUUACAUUCAAUAGCAGCUGACAGAACAGAUGAUAUCUCUGGAGUCCUGGAGCAUGGCUCUCCCCAACCAAAAUCAGAGCAUUCAAAAGAGUUGCUUCCUACAUCAGAGUUGAAGUAGAUAUCACCGCCAGCUGAAGGGACGAACGAACCAAAUCCCGUAUCUGCAGAAGCACUGCUCCCAUUCUCAUAUCCAUACUGUUUUGUCAUGGGUUUCUCUUCAAAAAAUCCAAAAGAAUCAUAAUGGUCAUCCUCCACGCUGUUCAUGAUUGCUGAGUCGGACUGAAGUGAAUACAGGCUCUCCUCAGGAAGGACCUUCUGAGGAUUCACCUUAACAGUGUGUCUUGAUGCAGGGGCGGGAGCUUCAUCAGGAAAGUUUACCUUAGCCUUCUUGCCUCUGAUCCUCCUCGCCUCAAUAUCAUAAGCUUUGGCAGCUUCUUCUGCAGUAUUGAAGGUUCCCAGCCAGACCCGAACCCCUUUCCUUGGGUCACGUAUUUCAGCUGCCCACUUA
Molecule: unclassified non-coding RNA, 1024 nt
Filed under: Hevea brasiliensis (rubber tree)
Lineage: Eukaryota; Viridiplantae; Streptophyta; Magnoliopsida; Malpighiales; Euphorbiaceae
Source: RNAcentral